This 446-nucleotide ribosomal RNA is filed under the name uncultured bacterium. RNAcentral's name for it is "bacterial SSU rRNA". It matches the Rfam family "Bacterial small subunit ribosomal RNA", at positions 355 to 825 of the family's 1533-position model. The record is from RNAcentral.
UGGGGAAUAUUGCACAAUGGGCGAAAGCCUGAUGCAGCAACGCCGCGUGCGGGAAGAAGGCCCUAGGGUUGUAAACCGCUUUCAGCAGGGAAGAAAAUGACGGUACCUGCAGAAGAAGGUGCGGCCAACUACGUGCCAGCAGCCGCGGUGACACGUGGGCACCAAGCGUUGUCCGGAUUUAUUGGGCGUAAAGAGCUCGUAGGCGGUUCAGUAAGUCGGGUGUGAAAACUCUGGGCUCAACCCGGGAACUGCGUCUGAUACUGGAGGGCUUGAAUCCGGGAGAGGGAUGCGGAAUUCCAGGUGUAGCGGUGAAAUGCGUAGAUAUCUGGAGGAACACCGGUGGCGAAGGCGGCAUCCUGGACCAAUUCUGACGCUGAGGAGCGAAAGCCAGGGGAGCAAACGGGAUUAGAUACCCUCGUAGUCCUGAGCGGGCUGGCAAGGCGCAU